GCCCAGGUCAGAGCACCAUCACCGCUCGAUAAGCCAAGCGCCUUCUAAGCGCUUGGCCGCAGGUUCGAGUCCUGCCGGGGGCG
RNAcentral lists this transfer RNA (83 nucleotides) under Streptomyces sp. SID8367. RNAcentral describes it as "tRNA-Arg". The record is from RNAcentral. Lineage: Bacteria; Bacillati; Actinomycetota; Actinomycetes; Kitasatosporales; Streptomycetaceae. RNAcentral also lists the same sequence under 1 other name.